RNAcentral lists this long non-coding RNA (951 nucleotides) under Phaseolus vulgaris (common bean). RNAcentral describes it as "long non-coding RNA (PVUL_LNC002510)". The record is from RNAcentral. Lineage: Eukaryota; Viridiplantae; Streptophyta; Magnoliopsida; Fabales; Fabaceae.
AAAACAAGAGUGAACCCUAAGUCUAACACUUUCACUCUCGUCCUUCUCUCUGCCUCACACUCACAUGAACCCUGCGCUGCUUCCACACGAAUCGAGCACUCUGCCUCAUACAAACCCUAGUGAUGUCUGACUCCCACGAACCCUAGUGCUUGCUGCUUCCACACGAACCUAGGGCUCUCUGCCUCACACGAACCCUAGCCAUGCCUGCCUCACACGAACUCUGCCUCCAUACGAACCCUAGCGCUCUCUGCCUCACAAAACCCUACUCUCUCUGCCUCUACACGGAACCGAUUUGAAGGUAAUUUGAUGUUUAGGAUUUGUCAUGUGAUUCUAUUUGUGUAUUUCAUUAUGUGUUUCAUCUUUUUACUAGGUAGCUAAAGAGAAAUUGAAGAAAUUUAUCACAGAGGCGGCAGGGGAGAAAGAGUUUCCUGACUCGAGUUCUGAUUUUCGAGCAAUUAAAGCAAGUUAUCACAGAGGCAGGUGAGAGAAUUCUAAAACUCAUUUUUUGUUCCAAUCCUGCUGAAACUGCUUUUCUGUAUCCAAGGGUCUUUGUUGAGUGAGGAGAAUGGUCUGUUUUCUUACAUGGUUCAUAGGUGAAGCUUGCCCAUUCACGUAUGAGUAAAAGAAUGACACUGCAUCGUCUUGACAUUGUUGAAUCUGAUUUGUUGAGAAAGCCAUUUGGCGGUCUGCAACAACCAUUUGCCCUUUCCAGGUUUCAGCCUUGAGGACAAGGCUAACUCUAUUGGGCAGGGAAUUGAUAUCCCACUCAGGUCCAUAGUUGUAAACCUAAGAAUAAAAAGUAGGAUUGAUUGUUUAGUGGUUCUGUUUAGGUGUAUUUCUGUUUCAAUUAGUAGAGAAGGAGUAUUUGGAGAAUGGUCGAUUCUGUUAGAGGGGAGUGGGGUUGGUCUUUUUCCUUUGGAAAAAUGUUGAGAUCAUCCUGGGGGAUUCAUC